GUAAUACACACUCGCAUGGUCUCAAAAUUAUAUGAAAACUGCGCAAUGCAUGUUAUUCGAUGCCUUUUUAUCGGCUCGAUAAGCAGGCAUAAGUAACUUCGUGUUCACUUUAGUGUGUAUUAAUUUGGACAUAGAACAGACUGAGGUGAUACAAUACAUACAGCUAUGGAAGACAAGCAGACAAGUAAACGACGGGUUGAUGCGUCGGCAUCAUCACGUAUAACAAAAGCCCCAAUCCAAAUACCACGCAAAGUAAAGUCUGGUCGUGUAGCUAAGGCAUAUAAAGCCAGCCCAGUACAUGGAAAGAACGAAAAUUCAGUGCAAGGACAAAAUCAGAUUGUAAGUUUUGCAACUGGUAGAAGCAGAUAUUUCAACGAAGUGGAAUCGAGUAUCCCGUUGAAUAUUAACGAAACAAAGCUACCGGCACGCCCGGAUAAUGAAACACCAAUGCCUGAGCCAGAAACAUCCUCGCUUCCUGAACCUGCAUUGGGGGUUGACGUAGGUGGCAGGGGCGGACAGGGAAGAGGACGAGGAAGUCAAAGACGUUAACCUUAUGAAAACAAACACAUCUUGAUUUGUGUUUCCAUUGUAGAUACACUAGUUUUUGACGUUAUUGUUUCUACAUAAGAUAUGUCGUAUGAUAUAUAUAUAGUAAUAUCGACAUUGGAAUAACUAGUAUGUCCGUAUUUUACAAACGUUCGUUGUACAACGACAAUCAGAUAAAUAAAAUUACUCAAAUAAG
Molecule: long non-coding RNA, 742 nt
Organism: Dreissena polymorpha
Lineage: Eukaryota; Metazoa; Mollusca; Bivalvia; Myida; Dreissenidae
Exons: 2
Source: RefSeq, a predicted model, not a curated record